UACGAAGGGUGCAAGCGUUGUUCGGAUUUAUUGGGCGUAAAGCGCGCGCAGGCGGCUUGAAAAGUCAGAUGUGAAAUCUCGGGGCUCAACUCCGAAACUGCGUCUGAAACUCUCAAGCUAGAGUCAUGGAGGGGAAAGGGGAAUUUCACGUGUAGGGGUAAAAUCCGUAGAGAUGUGAAGGAACACCUGAGGCGAAGGCGCCUUUCUGGCCAUGUACUGACGCUGAGGCGCGAAAGCGUGGGGAGCAAACAGG
Molecule: ribosomal RNA, 253 nt
Filed under: uncultured bacterium
Lineage: Bacteria
Description: partial 16S ribosomal RNA
Rfam family: Bacterial small subunit ribosomal RNA
Source: RNAcentral